This 75-nucleotide transfer RNA is filed under the name Bacteroidetes bacterium ADurb.Bin041. RNAcentral describes it as "tRNA-Cys". It matches the Rfam family "tRNA". From Rfam's summary of the family: Transfer RNA (tRNA) molecules are approximately 80 nucleotides in length. Lineage: Bacteria; Pseudomonadati; Bacteroidota. The record is from RNAcentral.
GAUCUCGUGCCAGAAUUAGAUAAUGGUGCUGUCUGCAAAACAGUAAUAUGUAGGUGCAAAUCCUACCGGGAUCUC